GACCAAGGAGAGUAACAUGUACGCGAGUCAUUGGGCGUUACGAAACCCAAAGGCGCAGUGAAAGUGAAGGUCUGACUCGAUUCAGACUGAGGUGAGAUCCUGCUACCAAGCAUCGAGCGAGGCGCAUCACCGGCCCGUUUCGGACAGUUUUCAGUCGGGGCGGAGCAUGAGCGUACAUGUUGAGACCCGAAAGAUGGUGAACUAUGCUUGCGCAGGUUGAAGCCAGAGGAAACUCUGGUGGAGGACCGCAGCGAUUCUGACGUGCAAAUCGAUCGUCAAACGUGAGUAUAGGGGCGAAAGACUAAUCGAACCAUCUAGUAGCUGGUUCCCUCCGAAGUUUCCCUCAGGAUAGCUGGCGUUCAGAACAGUUUUAUCCGGUAAAG
Molecule: ribosomal RNA, 383 nt
Filed under: Theromyzon rude
Lineage: Eukaryota; Metazoa; Annelida; Clitellata; Rhynchobdellida; Glossiphoniidae
Description: partial 28S ribosomal RNA
Rfam family: Eukaryotic large subunit ribosomal RNA
Source: RNAcentral